AGCGAAGAAAAUCAAGUUGUUUUUUAAUUCAAGCAUGUUGACUAACAGAAUGGAAGCCACUUCCAUGUACUACUUGGGCUUGAGUCUUGGCUCUGUCACUAACUAGUUGUGUGACCUUGGGCAGAUUACUU
This 131-nucleotide microRNA precursor is filed under the name Ovis aries (sheep). RNAcentral describes it as "miRNA (ENSOARG00000023128.1)". The record is from RNAcentral. Lineage: Eukaryota; Metazoa; Chordata; Mammalia; Artiodactyla; Bovidae.